UACGGAGAGUGCUAGCGUUGUUCGGAAUUACUGGGCGUAAAGGGCGUCUAGGCGGCGCUUCAAGUCAGAUGUGAAAGCCCUGGGCUCAACCGAGGACGUGCAUCUGAAACUGAAGUGCUCGAGUACCGGAGGGGGCAGCGGAAUUCCCGGUGUAGAGGUGAAAUUCGUAGAUAUCGGGAGGAACACCAGUGGCGAAGGCGGCUGCCUGGUCGGAUACUGACGCUGAAGCGCGAAAGCGUGGGGAGCAAACAGG
RNAcentral lists this ribosomal RNA (253 nucleotides) under uncultured bacterium. RNAcentral describes it as "partial 16S ribosomal RNA". It matches the Rfam family "Bacterial small subunit ribosomal RNA", at positions 524 to 776 of the family's 1533-position model. The record is from RNAcentral.